GACGAACGCUGGCGGCGUGCCUAAUACAUGCAAGUCGAACGCACAGUUUAUACCGUAGCUUGCUACACCAUAGACUGUGAGUUGCGAACGGGUGAGUAACGCGUAGGUAACCUGCCUGGUAGCGGGGGAUAACUAUUGGAAACGAUAGCUAAUACCGCAUAAUAUUGAUUAUUGCAUGAUAAUUGAUUGAAAGAUGCUAUUGCAUCACUACCAGAUGGACCUGCGUUGUAUUAGCUAGUAGGUGAGGUAACGGCUCACCUAGGCGACGACACAUAGCCGAGCUGAGAGGGUGAUCGGCCACACUGGGACUGAGACACGGCCCAGACUCCUACGGGAGGCAGCAGUAGGGAAUCUUCGGCAAUGGACGAAAGUCUGACCGAGCAACGCCGCGGGAGUGAAGAAGGGUUUCGGAUCGUAAAGCUCUGUUGUAAGAGAAGAACGGGUGUGAGAGUGGAAAGUUCACACUGUGACGGUAGCUGACCAGAAAGGGACGGCUAACUACGUG
This 505-nucleotide ribosomal RNA is filed under the name uncultured bacterium. RNAcentral describes it as "partial 16S ribosomal RNA". It matches the Rfam family "Bacterial small subunit ribosomal RNA", at positions 28 to 507 of the family's 1533-position model. The record is from RNAcentral.